Termitomyces sp. J132 is the source of this 74-nucleotide transfer RNA. It matches the Rfam family "tRNA". From Rfam's summary of the family: Transfer RNA (tRNA) molecules are approximately 80 nucleotides in length. Their secondary structure includes four short double-helical elements and three loops (D, anti-codon, and T loops). Further hydrogen bonds mediate the characteristic L-shaped molecular structure. tRNAs have two regions of fundamental functional importance: the anti-codon, which is responsible for specific mRNA codon recognition, and the 3' end, to which the tRNAs corresponding amino acid is attached (by aminoacyl-tRNA synthetases). tRNAs cope with the degeneracy of the genetic code in two manners: having more than one tRNA (with a specific anti-codon) for a particular amino acid; and 'wobble' base-pairing, i.e. permitting non-standard base-pairing at the 3rd anti-codon position. The record is from Rfam. Lineage: Eukaryota; Fungi; Basidiomycota; Agaricomycetes; Agaricales; Lyophyllaceae.
GGCCGACUAGCUCAGUUGGUUAGAGCGUUGUGCUAAUAACGCGAAGGUCUUGGGUUCGAUCCCCACGUUGGCCA